CCUACGGGUGGCUGCAGUGGGGAAUAUUGCACAAUGGGCGCAAGCCUGAUGCAGCCAUGCCGCGUGUGUGAAGAAGGCCUUCGGGUUGUAAAGCACUUUCAGCGGGGAGGAAGGCGGUGAGGUUAAUAACCUCAUCGAUUGACGUUACCCGCAGAAGAAGCACCGGCUAACUCCGUGCCAGCAGCCGCGGUAAUACGGAGGGUGCAAGCGUUAAUCGGAAUUACUGGGCGUAAAGCGCAGGCAGGCGGUCUGUCAAGUCGGAUGUGAAAUCCCCGGGCUCAACCUGGGAACUGCAUUCGAAACUGGCAGGCUAGAGUCUUGUAGAGGGGGGUAGAAUUCCAGGUGUAGCGGUGAAAUGCGUAGAGAUCUGGAGGAAUACCGGUGGCGAAGGCGGCCCCCUGGACAAAGACUGACGCUCAGGUGCGAAAGCGUGGGGAGCAAACAGGAUUAGAUACCCCUGUAGUC
RNAcentral lists this ribosomal RNA (465 nucleotides) under uncultured Klebsiella sp. Its description in RNAcentral is "bacterial SSU rRNA". It matches the Rfam family "Bacterial small subunit ribosomal RNA", at positions 338 to 795 of the family's 1533-position model. The record is from RNAcentral. Lineage: Bacteria; Pseudomonadati; Pseudomonadota; Gammaproteobacteria; Enterobacterales; Enterobacteriaceae.